GCGUCGGUGGUGGAGUGGUCAAUCACAAGAGACUGUAAAUCUCUCGACUUCGGUCUUCGAAGGUUCGAAUCCUUCCCGACGCACAA
This 86-nucleotide transfer RNA is filed under the name Candidatus Yonathbacteria bacterium RIFOXYC2_FULL_47_9. RNAcentral's name for it is "tRNA-Tyr". It matches the Rfam family "tRNA". Rfam says of the family: Transfer RNA (tRNA) molecules are approximately 80 nucleotides in length. Their secondary structure includes four short double-helical elements and three loops (D, anti-codon, and T loops). Further hydrogen bonds mediate the characteristic L-shaped molecular structure. tRNAs have two regions of fundamental functional importance: the anti-codon, which is responsible for specific mRNA codon recognition, and the 3' end, to which the tRNAs corresponding amino acid is attached (by aminoacyl-tRNA synthetases). tRNAs cope with the degeneracy of the genetic code in two manners: having more than one tRNA (with a specific anti-codon) for a particular amino acid; and 'wobble' base-pairing, i.e. permitting non-standard base-pairing at the 3rd anti-codon position. RNAcentral also lists the same sequence under 1 other name. The record is from RNAcentral. Lineage: Bacteria; Candidatus Yonathiibacteriota.